Alnus glutinosa is the source of this 138-nucleotide small nucleolar RNA. RefSeq annotates it as small nucleolar RNA snoR134. Lineage: Eukaryota; Viridiplantae; Streptophyta; Magnoliopsida; Fagales; Betulaceae. The record is from RefSeq and is a predicted model, not a curated record. The transcript has a single exon.
CUGCACAAUGCCUUCCGGGCUUCUCUUAUAGGAUUGGUGAUGAUGAAAGCCCCAAUACUUGUGCUAAAGUAGUGCCAUUUAGUGUUGUAGUUCAUCUUGGGUACUUUUUCACAGCUGAUCUGUGUCAUAUAUACAUGU